This 60-nucleotide transfer RNA is filed under the name Camelus bactrianus (Bactrian camel). It matches the Rfam family "tRNA". Rfam says of the family: Transfer RNA (tRNA) molecules are approximately 80 nucleotides in length. Their secondary structure includes four short double-helical elements and three loops (D, anti-codon, and T loops). The record is from Rfam by way of RNAcentral. RNAcentral also lists the same sequence under 2 other names. Lineage: Eukaryota; Metazoa; Chordata; Mammalia; Artiodactyla; Camelidae.
GAGGGUAUAGCUCAGUGGUAGAGUGCAUGCAGGUCCUGGGUUCAAUCCCCAGUACCUCUG